CGGGGCCCGAUGCCGUUCCCGAGGCGGGGCCCGAUGCCGUUCCAGAGGCGGGGCCCGAGGCGGUGCCAGAAGCCGAGGCGCCUCACGUCUCCGCAGGCCGUCCAGAGGCGGUGCCCGAAGCCGAGGCACCUCACGUCUCCGCAGGCCGUCCAGAGCGCCCUCACGUCUCCGCAGGCCGUCCAGAGCGCCCUCACGUCUCCGCAGGCCUUCCAGAACGCCCUCACGUCUCCGCAGGGCCUUCCAGAACGCCCUCACGUCUCCGCAGGGCCUUCCAGAAUGCCUUGACGUCUCCGCAGGGCCUCCGGGAUGGCAGGUUCCGCUCUGGUUGCUCAAAUGGCGGGUUCCUCCCUGGCCGUCGGCACAACCGGAACUGACGGAUCCUCCGUGGCCACCUGAACUGCCUGGUCCCUCGUGGUCCCCUGAACUUUCGGGUCCACCCUGGCCCCCUGAACUGACUGAUCCACCUUGGCUGCCAGUGGAGCCAUCGCUGCCUGUCCCUGUUCCCCUACACGGGCCUGGCCCUCCAUGCCUCCCCCUGUUCUACCUCCACCAGUCCACCUCCCUCCUGGUCUUUUUGGUUUGUUUUUUGUGUCUGAGGAGCAUCUGGAAGCUGCUCCGUAGAGGGGGGGUAAUGUCACAUUGUCUGGUC
This is a long non-coding RNA of Cyprinus carpio carpio, 649 nucleotides long. The record is from Ensembl. NCBI's taxonomy places the organism in Eukaryota, Metazoa, Chordata, Actinopteri, Cypriniformes, Cyprinidae.